Molecule: ribosomal RNA, 252 nt
Filed under: uncultured bacterium
Lineage: Bacteria
Description: partial 16S ribosomal RNA
Rfam family: Bacterial small subunit ribosomal RNA
Source: RNAcentral
UACGUAGGUGGCGAGCGUUAUCCGGAAUGAUUGGGCGUAAAGGGUGCGUAGGCGGCCUGCUAAGUCUGGAGUGAAAGGUACCGGCUCAACCGGUACAGGCUCUGGAAACUGGCGGGCUAGAGAGCAGGAGAGGAAAGCGGAAUUCCUAGUGUAGCGGUGAAAUGCGUAGAUAUUAGGAAGAACACCGGUGGCGAAGGCGGCUUUCUGGACUGAAACUGACGCUGAGGCACGAAAGCGUGGGGAGCAAACAGG